UACAGAGGGGGCAAGCGUUGUUCGGAAUUACUGGGCGUAAAGGGCUCGUAGGCGGCCAACUAAGUCGGACGUGAAAUCCCCAGGCUCAACCUGGGAACUGCGUCCGAUACUGGAUGGCUUGAAUCCGGGAGAGGGAUGCAGAAUUCCAGGUGUAGCGGUGAAAUGCGUAGAUAUCUGGAGGAACACCGGUGGCGAAGGCGGCAUCCUGGACCAAUAUUGACGCUGAGGAGCGAAAGCCAGGGGAGCAAACGGG
Molecule: ribosomal RNA, 253 nt
Filed under: uncultured bacterium
Lineage: Bacteria
Description: partial 16S ribosomal RNA
Rfam family: Bacterial small subunit ribosomal RNA
Source: RNAcentral